CAACGUGGGGAUCUGCCCAGUAGUGGGGAACAACUCCGAGAAAUCGGAGCUAAUACCGCAUACGGUACUUGUGGAGACACAGGAUACUAAAGCCAGUAAUGGCGCUAUUGGAGGAACCUGCGGCUGAUUAGCUAGUUGGUGGGGUAAAGGCCUACCAAGGCGAUGAUCAGUAGCUGGUCUGAGAGGAUGGACAGCCACACUGGGACUGAGAUACGGCCCAG
This 221-nucleotide ribosomal RNA is filed under the name uncultured bacterium. RNAcentral describes it as "partial 16S ribosomal RNA". It matches the Rfam family "Bacterial small subunit ribosomal RNA", at positions 113 to 334 of the family's 1533-position model. The record is from RNAcentral.